GAUGUCUUAGAUCUUCCAGCUGAGGCACCCCCGUCAACACACGGAGCGGAAACAGCCAUCCUCACUCACCCAUCCGCACCUCUAACCCAGAGAACUAUCCAGUGUUCUGGCAUUUGAAUUACAAUAUGUUCUGAAGAAAAGAAUGCAGAGUUUGGAAGCCACGCGCCUUCACUUCAUAUACCUCAUGAGCUGUAUGGUUCUGGGCAUGUUUGAAAGCUUCCUGCUCCUGAUUUCCUCCAUUUAAAAUAGAAGUAUUUCCUGGGAUGGUAGACAGCACAAAGUGCAAGAACAAAUGGAAAAUUUAUACAAAAACAAAAGCACUUCAUUUCUAUAACCCUGGCAGGUCCUCUGUAUUUGCAUGCCAUGUGUGUCAGGUUUUCUGUCAUAGGCUUGAACUUUCAAAAUAUAUCUGCCUAUCGAUCUGGAAGACAAGACAAACAGUAUUUCUGUCCUAUGGCUUUUUGUCGAGAAAAGUGAGAUUUGAGCAUGAGAGAUUUUGCUAUUCUCCACAUGGUAUUUUGUUGUGGGCUACUACAAGACCCACAGGGAAAAUCCACAUGAAGGAGACAUUAUCAUAGGGGGUUGAAAGCUGAAGUUUAUAUAAAGAAAUGCUUUGGCUUGGGGGUUCAUAUAGAGCUUAGGACUGCUAGCUCUACCAAUGAAAGAAUUAUGGUAGUUUUAUGUCCCUCCUCAAAUACAAUUUGAAAUAUUUUUAAAAAUCACACUUUGGAGGACAUCAUGUUAAGUGAAAUAAGCCAGGCACAUGAAGCAAAUACUCCAUGUUCUUGCUCAUUUGUAGAAACUAAAAAAUUGGUAUCAAAAAAGUGGAAUAGAGACCAGGAAGGAGAUGAAGAACAAUGCAGAGAGAUUAGAUCGGGGAGAAAACACAGUCACAUAGAAGAAAUUAGUUCUGGUGUUCAAUAGUCUAAUAGGCUACAAAAAUCUGUAUUUUCAAAUAACUAGAAAAGCAUGAGUUACCAAUACGUAGAAAUGAUUGAUGAUAUAGAAAAUAGCAUGAUUUGGUCAUUAAACAUUGUAUACAUGUAUCAAAAUUGUACAGUACUCCACAAAUACAUACAAAUAUUAUGUGUCCAAAAAUAAGCUUUAAAAAUCACAACAAACCCUAAAGGUAAUGAAGCCCAAGUUUCUGAUUUGCCCCAUAAGUACUUCAAAGCUUUGUGUGAAAUACCAAAUCUUUCCAAUUUUUUUCUUGAUGUCCUAAACAGUGGCUCUCAAAGUAUGUUCCCUAAACCAGGAGCAACAGCUUCACCUGUGGCCCUGUUAGAAACACUAAUUGAGGCCUCACCCCCAAAUUUACUGAAGAAACUUGGGGGUGCUAGAUUCAGCAGCACAUACACUAAAAUUGCAAUGAUACAGAGAUUAGAGUGGACCCUGAGCAAGGAUGAGAUGCAAAUUCAUGAAGCAGUCCAUAUUUUUCGGGAAA
Non-coding RNA from Heterocephalus glaber (naked mole-rat), 1444 nucleotides. NCBI's taxonomy places the organism in Eukaryota, Metazoa, Chordata, Mammalia, Rodentia, Bathyergidae. The record is from RefSeq and is a predicted model, not a curated record.